GACCUCAUAGUAUAACGGCUAGUAUGUCUCGUUGUCUGCGAGUGGGUCGGGGUUCGAUUCCCCGUGGGGUCGCCA
Molecule: transfer RNA, 75 nt
Filed under: Flavobacteriales bacterium
Lineage: Bacteria; Pseudomonadati; Bacteroidota; Flavobacteriia; Flavobacteriales
Description: tRNA-Asp
Rfam family: tRNA
About the family: Transfer RNA (tRNA) molecules are approximately 80 nucleotides in length.
Source: RNAcentral